AAACCAUGCAUCAGGCAUUUUCUAAUUAAUUCAUUGAAAUGCUCCCUUGCCUCGUUUAAUGUAUCAUCUUCAGAUUGUCUAAACGAUGAAAAGUCAUUCCUUAGCUU
Non-coding RNA from Gossypium hirsutum (cotton), 107 nucleotides. Lineage: Eukaryota; Viridiplantae; Streptophyta; Magnoliopsida; Malvales; Malvaceae. The record is from Rfam.